This 488-nucleotide ribosomal RNA is filed under the name fungal endophyte. Its description in RNAcentral is "eukaryotic LSU rRNA". The stretch from base 158 to 311 matches the Rfam family "5.8S ribosomal RNA". The record is from RNAcentral. Lineage: Eukaryota; Fungi.
GGAUCAUUACCGAGUUUACAACUCCCAAACCCCUGUGAACAUACCAAUUGUUGCCUCGGCGGAUCAGCCCGCUCCCGGUAAAACGGGACGGCCCGCCAGAGGACCCCUAAACUCUGUUUCUAUAUGUAACUUCUGAGUAAAACCAUAAAUAAAUCAAAACUUUCAACAACGGAUCUCUUGGUUCUGGCAUCGAUGAAGAACGCAGCAAAAUGCGAUAAGUAAUGUGAAUUGCAGAAUUCAGUGAAUCAUCGAAUCUUUGAACGCACAUUGCGCCCGCCAGUAUUCUGGCGGGCAUGCCUGUUCGAGCGUCAUUUCAACCCUCAAGCCCUCGGGUUUGGUGUUGGGGAUCGGCGAGCCCUUGCGGCAAGCCGGCCCCGAAAUCUAGUGGCGGUCUCGCUGCAGCUUCCAUUGCGUAGUANUAAAACCCUCGCAACUGGUACGCGGCGCGGCCAAGCCGUUAAACCCCCAACUUCUGAAUGUUGACCUCG